Molecule: long non-coding RNA, 1481 nt
Organism: Rhinolophus ferrumequinum (greater horseshoe bat)
Lineage: Eukaryota; Metazoa; Chordata; Mammalia; Chiroptera; Rhinolophidae
Exons: 4
Source: RefSeq, a predicted model, not a curated record
AGAGGAAACAGUAGAAGAAUGAGACUUAAUAUGUUUUUUAAAGAGCAAUGGAAGUUUCACAGCCUAGUGAAUACUCCCAAAUGAUCCAUAUGCUUGAUAUUUGUGUUAUGCAGAGAAACAAAGUAAAGGGCCCUGGGCCCACUCGAGACAUCUGGUUUGCAUCUCAUCUCUGGCCACUAACUUACUGUAUCACUUGGAUAAAGAAACUGAGACUCAGAAUGCUAAGGUGUUUGUCAAAAUUUUUGCUGCCCUGUGACACACUUGGGCACUCAGAGAAUCAAGUUGUCCACAGGAUGUACACAUUCACUGUCCAUUUGGAAGACGCUUGCAACUGCCCACCUUUGCCAGGGACCAGUGGGAGCUCUGAAAGGAAGCUCUGAAAGGAGUUACAGCGGCGCAGGCAAGGCAAUUUCUUCUGUCCCACCAUCGAAGUGCCAUUUCCGCUGCAGACAAUAUGUUACAAGAAAAUCUCCCAGAGCAGAGAAGAUACGAGGGAAUGUAACACAGACCUGAGGUCAAUUUCCAGCUGCCUGUGUGACCUGAGCAAGAUACUUAACCUCUCUGGGCCUAGUCCCUCAUAUGUUAAAUCUGGUUAAUAAUAAACAUAGCUCUAGAUAGUUGUGGGGAGAAACAGCAUAUUUAAAUUGCUCUGGCAAAUGCCUGGCUGAUAAUAGGCAUUUAAUACAUGAAAUUUAUUUUUAUUACUCUCAUAAAAAUUAAGAACACCAGCUCCUUGAUUACAGACGAAAAUGAUUUAGGGUAACAGUAUAGAGAAUACUCCCUCCCUGAGGAAAGUAACUGGAUCUUGUCAUCACUGUAUUCUAACCCCACCCCUACCCCCCACCCCAGCUCAGUGCCUGCCUCACAGUAGCCACUCAGUUUUCCUCUGCUGCAUGACUGAAUGAGAGGUGAGUGCCUGGAGUAAAGAAAAGUUGUCAAGAUUUCCCUGCCACUAGCUACUGUUGGGCUGUUGAAUUUUAACCCUCAAAGCCAAAAAGACCAUCAGACUCUGGGCUCUAAACGCGUAAGCUGAAUUCCCCGAAGUUCUGAAGUUGAGAAGCCCGAAUUAGAACCUAGGGACCUAAACUGCUGCAGGUCCAACUUCAAGCCUCAGUCACGGGCAAAAGGCCCAGGAAAGGGCUGCCUUCGACCCUUUCCUCCCUCACUCCCCUUCCUUCGAUGCUCCUCACAGGAGUUUUUACACCUGUUCCUGUCAAGUCACACUCUUACAUCCUGGCAUUCCAGGGAGGCUCUGGGAAACUCGGGGAAGGAGGCUGUUUGGUGACUACUUCCUAGCCCUGAAGGUGAUGAUACUACCCUAACUCUGCCCAGUGAGGUGGUUUUCACCGCCCCGCCCCCCAGCCUCCCGCACCCCCGCCGCAGAUAAAGGAACUGAAAAGCUCAUAGAAGUUCGGUGACUUGCUCACUUCACACCAUGGCAGCGUUGGCCACGACAGAACCCACGAUUCCCGACUUCGGUG